ACGGGAGGCAGCAGUGGGGAAUGUUGGACAAUGGGGGAAACCCUGAUCCAGCGACGCCGCGUGAGUGAAGAAGUAUUUCGGUAUGUAAAGCUCUAUCAGCAGGGAAGAUAAUGACGGUACCUGACUAAGAAGCUCCGGCUAAAUACGUGCCAGCAGCCGCGGUAAUACGUAUGGGGCAAGCGUUAUCCGGAUUUACUGGGUGUAAAGGGAGCGUAGACGGCAUAGCAAGUCUGAUGUGAAAGGCCGAGGCUCAACCUCGGUACUGCAUUGGAAACUGGUAAACUAGAGUGUCGGAGGGGUAAGUGGAAUUCCUAGUGUAGCGGUGAAAUGCGUAGAUAUUAGGAGGAACACCAGUGGCGAAGGCGGCUUACUGGACGAUAACUGACGUUGAGGCUCGAAAGCGUGGGGAGCAAACAGGAUUAGAUACCCUGGUA
RNAcentral lists this ribosomal RNA (434 nucleotides) under uncultured Lachnospiraceae bacterium. RNAcentral describes it as "partial 16S ribosomal RNA". It matches the Rfam family "Bacterial small subunit ribosomal RNA", at positions 341 to 792 of the family's 1533-position model. Lineage: Bacteria; Bacillati; Bacillota; Clostridia; Lachnospirales; Lachnospiraceae. The record is from RNAcentral.